This 217-nucleotide ribosomal RNA is filed under the name Escherichia coli. RNAcentral's name for it is "partial 16S ribosomal RNA". It matches the Rfam family "Bacterial small subunit ribosomal RNA", at positions 902 to 1118 of the family's 1533-position model. The record is from RNAcentral. Lineage: Bacteria; Pseudomonadati; Pseudomonadota; Gammaproteobacteria; Enterobacterales; Enterobacteriaceae.
CAAAUGAAUUGACGGGGGCCCGCACAAGCGGUGGAGCAUGUGGUUUAAUUCGAUGCAACGCGAAGAACCUUACCUGGUCUUGACAUCCACGGAAGUUUUCAGAGAUGAGAAUGUGCCUUCGGGAACCGUGAGACAGGUGCUGCAUGGCUGUCGUCAGCUCGUGUUGUGAAAUGUUGGGUUAAGUCCCGCAACGAGCGCAACCCUUAUCCUUUGUUGC